This 196-nucleotide ribosomal RNA is filed under the name uncultured Pseudomonas sp. Its description in RNAcentral is "partial 16S ribosomal RNA". It matches the Rfam family "Bacterial small subunit ribosomal RNA", at positions 335 to 524 of the family's 1533-position model. The record is from RNAcentral. Lineage: Bacteria; Pseudomonadati; Pseudomonadota; Gammaproteobacteria; Pseudomonadales; Pseudomonadaceae.
ACUCCUACGGGAGGAGCAGUGGGGAAUUUUGGACAAUGGGCGAAAGCCUGAUCCACCCAUGCCGCGUGUGUGAAGAAGGUCUUCGGAUUGUAAAGCACUUUAAGUUGGGAGGAAGGGCAGUAAGCUAAUACCUUGCUGUUUUGACGUUACCGACAGAAUAAGCACCGGCUAACUCUGUGCCAGCAGCCGCGGUAAU